Molecule: ribosomal RNA, 305 nt
Filed under: uncultured bacterium
Lineage: Bacteria
Description: bacterial SSU rRNA
Rfam family: Bacterial small subunit ribosomal RNA
Source: RNAcentral
UUUUUCCUACGGGGGGCAGCAGUGGGGGAUAUUGCACAAUGGGGGAAACCCUGAUGCAGCGACGCCGCGUGUGGGAAGGCGGUCCUCUGGAUUGUAAACCACUGUCCCCAGGGACGAAAAUGACGGUACCUGGGGAGGAAGCUCCGGCUAACUACGUGCCAGCAGCCGCGGUAAUACGUAGGGGGCAAGCGUUAUCCGGAUUUACUGGGUGUAAAGGGAGCGUAGGCGGUUUAGCAAGUCAGAAGUGAAAGCCCGGGGCUCAACUCCGGGACUGCUUUUGAAACUGUUGAACUAGAUUGCAGGAG